Lagenorhynchus albirostris (white-beaked dolphin) is the source of this 4646-nucleotide RNA transcript. It is a transcript of the gene named tubulin tyrosine ligase, with no coding region annotated. Lineage: Eukaryota; Metazoa; Chordata; Mammalia; Artiodactyla; Delphinidae. The record is from RefSeq and is a predicted model, not a curated record. The transcript has 7 exons.
GCGGGGUCGGCGGGGCCAGAUCCCGGCUGGCGCCCGGGCGGUUCCUACGCUGAGCCGCCGCCUGGCCGGCUGGUUCCUGCGGCGGCUGCCGGGGCGGCCCGGUCGCGCGGCCCUUCGCCAUGUACACCUUCGUGGUGCGCGACGAGAACAGCAGCGUCUACGCCGAGGUCUCCCGGCUGCUGCUCGCCACCGGCCACUGGAAGAGGCUGCGGCGGGACAACCCCAGGUUCAACCUGAUGCUGGGAGAAAGGAACCGGCUGCCCUUUGGGAGACUGGGUCACGAGCCUGGCCUGAUGCAGUUGGUGAAUUACUACAGGGGAGCUGACAAACUGUGUCGCAAAGCUUCUUUAGUGAAGCUUGUCAAGACCAGCCCAGAACUGGCUGAGUCCUGCGCAUGGUUCCCCGAGUCCUAUGUGAUUUAUCCAACUAACCUCAAGACCCCAGUUGCUCCGGCUCAGAACGGAAUCCACCCGCCAAUCCAGAGCUCAAGGACAGAUGAGAGAGAAUUUUUCCUGGCUUCUUAUAAUAGAAAGAAAGAAGAUGGAGAGGGCAACGUUUGGAUUGCAAAGUCAUCAGCCGGAGCCAAAGGUGAAGGCAUCCUCAUCUCCUCGGACGCUGCGGAGCUGCUGGAUUUCAUAGACAACCAGGGCCAGGUGCACGUGAUCCAGAAAUACCUUGAGCGCCCCCUGCUUCUGGAGCCAGGCCAUCGCAAGUUUGACAUCCGAAGCUGGGUCUUGGUGGAUCAUCAAUAUAAUAUCUACCUCUAUAGAGAGGGUGUACUUCGGACUGCUUCAGAACCGUAUCAUGUGGAUAAUUUCCAAGAUAAGACUUGCCAUUUGACUAAUCACUGCAUUCAAAAGGAGUACUCGAAGAACUAUGGGAAGUAUGAAGAAGGGAACGAAAUGUUCUUUGAGGAGUUCAAUCGGUACCUAACAAGUGCUUUGAACAUCACCCUGGAAAGUAGUAUCUUACUACAAAUCAAACAUAUAAUAAGUCUUUCUCCCUGGACCACCCCAUCCUCAGUGAGCGCCCCCUCUGCCCUGCAGGAGCUGCCUCAUGAGCGUGGAGCCCGCCAUCAGCACCCGACACCUCCCUUACCAGAGCUUCCAGCUCUUCGGCUUCGACUUCAUGGUGGAUGAGGAGAUGAAGGUCUGGCUCAUUGAAGUCAACGGCGCCCCUGCUUGUGCUCAGAAGCUCUAUGCGGAGCUGUGCCAGGGCAUUGUGGACAUAGCCAUCGCCAGCCUCUUCCCGCCCCCCGGCUCGGGGCAGCAGCCGCCCCAGCCAGCCGCCUUCAUCAAGCUGUGACCGAGGGAGGCGCUCGAAGCUGCCUCGGAAGAAGCACGAGGGGGCGCUGCCCCGGGGGAAGGAGAAGUGUCCGAGUUGCUCGUCAUCAAGCCAAACAGGAGGAAGAGAGACAACCCGCAGAGACGUGCUGGAAGAAGAAAAGGCAGCUUCCCCGAGGAGUGGUCGUUUGCCCAGGGGUUCCCAGGUGGAGCUCUUGGCACUGCUACUGAGAUUCGAAAACUGCAGCAAAUUUCGCCAAUGGGAGAGCAGGCUGUUCUUCUGAGGGGCAAAACACAGGGAUGUGCUUAACGUUCUCAUCCUUUGAAAAAUCUGAUUUUUAUCCUAAGGUAGUGCUGUGAGCAGCGCCUCUCCUGCCCGGGGUGGCAGCCGUUGGAUCUGGUUGGUGUCUGUCCACCUGCUGCAUUAGUGCCUUAGCUCUGUGCCCAGCUACAGCCUCCUGUCUGGGGCAGGGGCGGGAUGCGAGAGCACUUGGGAGGUUGCCAAGGGUGUCCCCCGCUAGUCCCACGGGCAUCUGCACAAGCGCGCACCGACUGUCCUGGGUGCUGGGCUCUGCGGACGCUGCCUUGCCAUCAGGGGGCUUGCUCUUCUUGGUCCUGAUGGCAUCCGGCUGGUCACUGGCCAGGGAUGGUGUGGGCUGGGCACCCAACAGCAAACGCUGCUCUCAGCCUGCUCUCUGCAUGUUUUAGAAACCAAGCAGCAAGUUUGCUGCAAACCCGUAAGCAUCCAAUAAGCAUGAGAGAGGAAACAACACAACGUCCUGCUUUACUUAAUAGUUGCGUAGGGGAGAGUCUUUGAAAUAUGAUUCUCAGUUCUCUUUGUUUUAACCAGAAUUCUACAUGCCCUUUGGCCAAGUUCCCUUUCGUUCUGUUUUUUUUUGGGGGGGGGGUUUAACUUUUGUAAAAACCCUUCUAGGGGUCGGGAGAGGGUAGAAUUCCCCCCCUCCACCCCAGGGGGCUCCUCCCCACUUUGUUUUUCUUGCUCUUCUAGCACCUUCUGUGGGAGCUGGACAGGCAGGUUUUGUUCCAGGGAAGAUUCUCCGUCUGCUGCGCCUCUCGACAUCACGGAGAGGCUCUGAAUCAGUGUGUGUCUCGCCUGAGUGGGAGAGUCUCUUAAAAUGGGGAAGAUGGGGUUUCAGAGCCGCGCUCAGCAUCUCUUAAGUCAGCAGAGGUUAACGGCGUCCCGUUAGAUGUAGUUUCUGCUCACAGGAUGGACGAAUUUUCUGCAGACUUUCCAGGAGGCCGUGUCACUAGCGAGAGGAAGCCCCGUAUGCCAUCUGUGUCCACCGUAAGAUGAGUGAACGGUGCGCUGGGAAUCGGAGCAGACGCACUGAACCGGCUCCCCCCUCCCCAGGGCGCGGCGGGGUCUUCCCUCUGGCGCGUGUGUGCUCCGUUAUUCGUCCCUACUUGGCACAAGAAAACAGUUCUGCAGCCAGGGCAGACUUUUUUUUUUACAAAGAGAAGAAACGGCAACACCUCAAACAUGAUGAGAUGUGGUGGGAGCUUAACAGUGAAAAAAGGAAUCAUGAUGGAAAUGAUUCAAUGGCUGCAGCAGUGUGUGUGGGAUGUGAAAGUGUUAUGUCCGGGCUGAAGUGGAGGAAGGGCCAGCUGGCUCGGCCCUCCCGGGUGUUUGGAAUUACAAAAUAAACGUGCGGGCGGUUACCCAGAAUAUAUAGAUAAUGAAGUUUCCAUCCAGAGCGAAAUAAGACAGUGUUAAGGGAACUGUGAAGGCCCAGCACAGCUGAUGGGUUAGUGCUGGGGGCUUCUGAGCAGAUCGUGGUGAGGUGCACACCUACGUAGAAAGUGUAGGGUGAUGGGGAAAGCGUGGAGGUUUUUGUAGUGCUGUCACAUGCGAACGCAGAUUUGUAAUGAUCUUUUGGAUCUGAACUGCAGGGACGUUCGAGAAUUUUCUCUUACGGUGUCUCUUACUGGUGACAGAGCUAAGAAUCCAGGUGUAGGAAGUCUGUGGAACUUGAUGGAUUUUCUAAGAAACCUGAAUCAAUAGCAAUAUAUGUGAGGGAAGGAAGGCUUUAAAGAGAAAAUUCUGCUUCAUUCCUCACGUGGUUUCGAAUAAGUAUCUAUUUUAUGCAUUUAUUUCUGACCAGGUGGAAUGGCUGGCUCAGAACUGUUCCAUAUCCUUCCACGAUGUCCUUGACACAGGUGGUCAUGCCUCGCCCGCAGUCAGUCUUCAUACCUGUGGUCUGUGUUCGUGUGUCCAGUUGCUGGGGAAGGAGGUGGUGUUUUGUGGAGGCGUUGAUUCUGAUCUUGACUCUGUCAUUGGCUGCACGGCAUCAGAGGAGCCCGUGAACCUCUCUGUGCCUUAGUUUCUUAUCUCAUGGAAGAGCUUGUUGCCUGACCCAGGGACUACUUCAAGGGCAUUUAGUGAGGACACAUGAGAUUAGGAAGGCUGGAGAACCUCCAGCACCAAGGUUCUCAAUGCUGGCUGUUUGCUGGAAUCACUUGGGAAGCUUUUAAAGAAUGUCGGUGUCCACACCUUCCCCCUCCCUCACCCCUGACCCAUUAAGUCAGAACCUCAGGCAUCAGCUUGCUUUGGGAUGCCUUGAACCACUGACUGAGAAGGAAGGACAAACACAUUAUUACCUUGGAAGAAUCAGCUAAGGUUUAGGGCUUUAAAAAAAAUUCCUUCUAGAAGGCUAGGCGUUCCUUUAAGAAUGACCGGAUGCUGACGUGAUACAGCGAGUGCCGUCCAAGCAGGUUUUCCUUUGCUCCCUGUCACAGCCUUUGGAAACUCAGCUGUGCUUUCAUCUACUUAAACAGUUUGUGAAGCCUUGUCAGCAAAUAUAAACAGACAUGAAUUUAUAAAUAUGCUAAAUAGGUGUUAAGAUUAUAAACAAAUUAUGGAGAGAAAAAUCCCCUUCCCUCCCUCUGGACUCCCGUGGUAACUAUAGACUCCACUUCCCCAGGACGUGGAAGUGCCUCGGUGUCUGUCUGAUACAGUGGAGUGGGUGCUGGUGGACUUACCAGCUGACGUGAUGUGUCACGAGUGCCUCAGGGUGAUCAUCCCAGACUGGUGACAUCUGGUAGUGCUGGAAAUGGAUGGGAUCCGCAGGACCCGCAAGCAGCAGCGAUGCUACAGAGGGUGUUGCCAUUAAGAAUUGAGGUCGCGUCAAGCAGGGGUGCAUCCAGCCCUGCUGUGGGUGGUGGGGACUCUGCCAGAGGAGACUAGAUGCCAGAGUGGGUCCCCACAACACAUGGGUGCCAUGGAGAAAACUGUCUCUGAUCCUGGACACAGAAUAUGUACCUAAGAGGAAAUGACUCCUGACACAAGGCGAUUUUAUGAAUGUUUAAAAUGCCUGGAGCAUUAAAGGAAUCAUAUUUCAAGCA